This 497-nucleotide ribosomal RNA is filed under the name uncultured bacterium. RNAcentral's name for it is "partial 16S ribosomal RNA". It matches the Rfam family "Bacterial small subunit ribosomal RNA", at positions 28 to 507 of the family's 1533-position model. The record is from RNAcentral.
GAUGAACGCUGGCUGCGUGCCUAAUACAUGCAAGUCGAGCGAACAGACGAGGAGCUUGCUCCUCUGACGUUAGCGGCGGACGGGUGAGUAACACGUGCAUAACCUACCUAUAAGACUGGGAUAACUUCGGGAAACCGGAUCUAAUACCGGAUAAUAUAUUCAACCGCAUGGUUCAAUAGUGAAAGACGGUUUUGCUGUCACUCAUAGACUGAUUCGCGCUCCAUUAGCUAGUUGGUAAGGUAAAGGCUUACCAACGCAACGAUGCGUAGCAGACCUUAGAGGGUGAUCGGCCACACUGGAACUGAGACAAGGACCAGACUCCUACGGGAGGAAGCAGUAGGGAAUAUUCAGCAAAGGGCGAAAGCUUGACGUAGCAACGCCGCGUGAGUGAUGAAGGUCUUCGGCUCGUAAAACUCUGUUAUUAGGGAAGAACAAAUGUGUAAGAAACUAUGCACGUCUUGACGGUACCUAAUCAGAAAGCCACGGCUAACUACGUG